Molecule: transfer RNA, 57 nt
Filed under: Camelus bactrianus (Bactrian camel)
Lineage: Eukaryota; Metazoa; Chordata; Mammalia; Artiodactyla; Camelidae
Also listed under: 3 other names
Rfam family: tRNA
About the family: Transfer RNA (tRNA) molecules are approximately 80 nucleotides in length. Their secondary structure includes four short double-helical elements and three loops (D, anti-codon, and T loops).
Source: Rfam by way of RNAcentral
UAGCUCAGUGGUAGAGUGUAUGCUUAGCAUGCAUGAGGUCCUGGGUUCAAUCCCCAG